UUGCCCCUAAAACUUAAAAUAUAUCGGUAGUUGGCAAAGCCAAAACCAAAUAGGGCAUAGAAAAGGAGAAAAAGAAAAGGAGAACAGCUGAUUGACCAAAACAAAACGGUAGAGCAAAUUAAGCACACGUUGUUUUUGGAUCGCCGUUUCAGGGGAAAAAUAAUUUCAUUCCCAGCCAAAAAUUUGCCGCGGAAAAUAUGCAACGUCCGUUUAGAUUGUUUCGGUUUCCAAAAGUCACAAGGAAGAAAUCACUUUAGUUGGCGUGGAAGAACUACAAGUAUGAGAUUUAAGAAAAACCCCAGGACCGCACCAAAAACACAACCACUUCACUUGAAAUCAGUACUUGUUGAUAUUUAUAUAUACAGACUAACUCCGAAACAACGGUUGACAUAAUCGCCUAGCAGAAACCGUAAUUCGAGUACCCAUGGAUCAGUUUGGCAACAAGUUUACUCUAGUUGAUAAUGUGUUUCCCAGAGAGGCCGUACAGUGCACACCGAAGACGUUAUCAUUGCUGAUAUACGGCCCCAAUGGCUGCGAAAAAUGGUCGAAGCUUUGACCUCUCGGCUGGAAUUUACUUGAGCUAGUCGCGGGUAUCACUUGCUCUAAAUUAUUUUUGAAGCAUAAUGACAAGCCCUUGUCUGUAUAAUAAAGUUGAAAUCUUGGCCAAAUAUUAAAAUUUAUGCGUUUUAUUUCUUCUUGAAAACCACAUGUCUGAAAAACACCCUUAACUAUACGAUUGGAUUAAUUUUUUAGUCGGGGCGAAAACAAGCUCUAAAUUUCUAAUUUCCAAUUCUAUUGUACUUCAUAUUCCAUUUACACCUAAGUUAUGCCCUUAAACCGCUUGCGUUUUGUUA
Bactrocera oleae (olive fruit fly) is the source of this 854-nucleotide long non-coding RNA. RefSeq lists it as uncharacterized. The record is from RefSeq and is a predicted model, not a curated record. Lineage: Eukaryota; Metazoa; Arthropoda; Insecta; Diptera; Tephritidae.